UUAAAAGAAAGAGGAAAAAAGAGUAGAGAGGAGGACACUUUCAGAAGGGGAAAUGAUGGCCUCAAAUUGAGUACCAGCUAGAAAGGCACGUAACGUGCACAAAAAGCUCUACCCCUUUGUUCGCUGGCCUGGUCGCUGGUGCAGGUUUGAGGUCUCUGCUGUUAGGCAGGAAAGGGUGGGGGCUCCCCUCCACCCUUCCCCUUCCUGCCCCUCCACUGGCUGAACAGGCAAGAGGAGGUCAGGACGACUCAUAUCGAAAACCAAGGGACCCAGAGCCCUGCAAAUCAAGGUCACCCAGCAGGGCUGCUGCUUCUCUAACCCUGGGUAAAAACCCACUGCGCAACAAGUCAAUAAAAUAAACAUGGAGACGCUUUAGAGCCAGGUCAGUCUGGCAGAGGUGCCCACCUCAGGCAUUAAAAAUGUGCUUUCGAUAGAGGGGUUGUACGGCAUGUGAAUCACAGCUCAGUGAAGCUGUUACCAGCAACAACAACAUCCUCCUCCUCCUCACACACGGAGACACCUGCUGCACCACGUGCAGGGAGCCAGCCUCUCCGAAUGCCAAAGGUGCUUGGCGUUUGUGUGGUUCCUCACGGUUUGCACAGCGCUUACAUAAAAUUUACUCAGGUUCUCUCACCUAUGACCUGAUCAGGAAGCUAGGGAGAAAGAAACAGAGGCCCCGUUGCCACAAAAGAAUUGAUUUCCCUAAGGCCGCACAGCAAAGGAAGCAGAGCUUGGGGCUAGAAUGCCAGUGUUUGUUCUACCUCGUUGCUCUUAGGGUCUGCAUGGAGGUGAGGGUAUGGGUCUCGCCAGCCUUUGGAGUUUUUCCUGGUUGCCAUGAAUGCCAAUGGUAAAGAAGUAGUGCUAGCAAAGAGAUAGAAGUUAUUUCUCAGAGGGAAAUUCUAAAUGGAUGGUUUCUAUGGGGUCUAGAAACUCUCAACACAAUUGAAAAACUUCCGGAGACUUAUGUAUCAAGUCUAUGCAGCCCUCAGUUACUCCAGGUAUAAAGUGGGGAGUCUGGGGAUACCUUGCCCACGAUGAACUUUUGCUGAAUCUGAAUUUCUUAGAGAAUCAAAACUCAGAGUGGUAAAUUCGAACAUGACCGUGAGUCACUUACAUUCUCUCCCUGAGGAAAGGAGUCACUGAGGCUUGAAGAAGGGCUGGGCUUAGAAUUGGGGAGAAGCACGGAUGAGAGGGUUGGUGUAUAUAAACCAAGGAACUCAAAAAUUCAAGAGCCGUGUCAGCAGACUCAGGGAAAGGGAAACAGAUGACUUGGGUUUUGACUAUUUUCACUGUAACCCCUCAAUGGUGUUUUCCUACAAUGAUGCAACACAAAGAGAUAGCAUAGCAGCCAUUGUCUGCUUUUAUUAAAUAACCAUCGUCCAAAUUCUCAGAACCCUCCGUAGAAGCCUACUCUUAAAACUUGAGGGCUGCCCUGCAAAGCGAACUGCUGUUCUUUCUGCUGUGAGUGAUGUGUUUUUUUUUUUCCUUUCCUGUGUAUUAACUGUUUUAUGAAAGAGAUUUCAAUACUGAAAUCUCUGCCGUCAGUCCUCUAAUCUGGGAAACUCAGAAAAGUACUAGGAGGACACCUCUAACAAGACGUUCCAUUGGUACUGCAUCCUCAUCAUGAGAUGAACUUAACCAGUCUCCCCCGUGCAAGCUCUCCCCCCAGGGUUCCCAUCUUAAUGGGUAGAAUCCCCACCUGCUCAGCCAGGCCAUUCAGAAAGACAGAAGGCACACUGGUUAAGGAAUAGAAUUUGCCCCUGAAGCUCUUGGUUCGAAUACUGGUUCUAACAAUUAGUAACCCAGAAAGUUACUUCAACUGCCUAAUCGGUGAUUUUCUCAUCUUUAAAAUUAGAGCGAUAAUACCUAUUCAUUACAUUGUUUUGAAGAAUAAGUAAGAAAAAUACUUAAAGCCCUUAGCGCAGCGCCUGGUCCAUAGUAAGUAAUUGAUAAAUGCUGGUUAUAAUCAUUAUAGUUCUGAUUCAUAUCUUGCUGAAGACUUUUUGAUCUCAAGAAGCAUGAAUAAAUUUGAAUUCUACUGACAUUUCAUGAGCUCGGGAUUUUAUGCCAGAGUUUAUUUGACUCUCCCAAGACACUGAUGAUAGAUAUUAUUUCCAUUAUGUCCCUGAGGAAACCCAGGCUGUGUUGGAGUACUGGAAAUAUAUUUCUCUGAAUAAUACAUUCUGUAGCUUUGAACCAUGAAGACAAAUAUAUCUGUGUACUGGAGCUACUACUAACAAAGGUCAUUGUAUCAAGUUAGAAAGGAAGAUAGUGUUCGUGCCAUAUUCAUCAUCUAUGGAAGAUUCAGGAAAGUAGCUGUGCUACUUUUUAGCAGUAUGUACUAGAGUGCGCAUGCUGUGUACUCUUAGUGUUCCAGCCAGCAUUCUGGUGCCUUCUCCUGCCGCCGUGGAAAACACUCAACACAACUUGGGAGUGAGUGCUAUUGCACCCAUUUGACAGAGAAGGGAACUGAGGCUCAGAGAGUCAGCAUAGUGUUUCCAUCUUACACUGUUUGCGCGUUUUAGAGUCAGGUUUCAAACCCAGUGCCCUUACUCUUUUCCACAACACCACACUGCCUCCCACGGGCUUCCUGAAAUAGAAUUAGAAAACCGUUAUGACUCAUAAUCCUCCUAGGCACAAAGUAAUCUCAAACAUCUCAGGCUUGAAAAAGACCUUAAGGACAACAGAUCAGGCAGUCCUCCCGAGGUUGGCAUCUCCUCUACAAUGUCUUCCAAAGAAUGUGUGCUCCCCUCAAACGCGUCCAAGCCUGGCUUGCUGGCCACUCCUGGGAUGGUUCACGAGACGAAGAGCACAGAAGGUCUCUGGUUCCAUCCCUUAUUACACGGAUAAUGACUUUGAGGCCCAAAGAAAGGCUAUGUUCCCUCGGAUCACACAUGGAGAAGAAAAUGCCCCAAUGUUUGAGAGCAGUCUUAUAGAGUAUCUUUACCCGACCCCAAGGCAAAACUGAACAGACAUGAGAAGUAACACCGCCAAAGCACAGAAGAUUCAAACCAAGUUUUCUUUAAAAGAGAAGAUCCCUCCAGCUCAGCCUGGACAAGAUCGACACUUUCCAGAUUGGUUUCUCACUGUGAAAUAUAAUUCCUCUGAAAUAAUCUCCUUUCCCUGCCCAACUUCCUAUAAGAAAAGGCAUCAGGGGUUCUCCUUAUGGCUCAGCAGGUUGAGAAACCCAACACAAUGUCUGUGAGGAUGCUGGUUCAAUCCCUGGCCUUUGACCCCUAGCCCAAGAA
This 3248-nucleotide long non-coding RNA is filed under the name Sus scrofa (pig). RNAcentral's name for it is "lncRNA (ENSSSCG00060051286.1)". Lineage: Eukaryota; Metazoa; Chordata; Mammalia; Artiodactyla; Suidae. The record is from RNAcentral.